AAGAAAGUGGCAGAGUCGUUAUGCGGCGGGCUUGAAACCGGCAAAUGGGGGUUCAAUUCCUUCCUUUCUUG
RNAcentral lists this transfer RNA (71 nucleotides) under Stemonidium hypomelas. RNAcentral describes it as "tRNA-Ser (UCN)". It matches the Rfam family "tRNA". Rfam says of the family: Transfer RNA (tRNA) molecules are approximately 80 nucleotides in length. Their secondary structure includes four short double-helical elements and three loops (D, anti-codon, and T loops). The record is from RNAcentral. Lineage: Eukaryota; Metazoa; Chordata; Actinopteri; Anguilliformes; Serrivomeridae.